This 256-nucleotide ribosomal RNA is filed under the name uncultured bacterium. RNAcentral describes it as "partial 16S ribosomal RNA". It matches the Rfam family "Bacterial small subunit ribosomal RNA", at positions 524 to 777 of the family's 1533-position model. The record is from RNAcentral.
UACGUAGGUGGCAAGCGUUGUCCGGAUUUAUUGGGUUUAAAGGGUGCGUAGGCGGUCUAUUAAGUCAGUGCUGAAAUAUCCCGGCUUAACCGGGAGGGUGGCAUUGAUACUGAUGGACUUGAGUGCAGUCGAGGUAGGCGGAAUUGACGGUGUAGCGGUGAAAUGCUUAGAUAUCGUCAAGAACACCGAUAGUGAAGACAGCUUACUAGACUGUAACUGACGCUGAGGCACGAAAAGUGUGGGGAUCAAAACAGGG